GGGUGGGGUAAAUUUAUUCCUUGAAUUUUCGGAUUAGCCCUAAUUGUGGCUGCCAUCGGCUCUGCUUGUAAAAUGUAUAGCAUCGGCGAUAUUGGACAGCCCUGACGGAUUGAUCUAGAAAUUGGGACGUAUCUUGAUUGAAAACCGUUAGUCAUUAAACAAGUUUUAGCAUUUUUUAGUAACAUUUUAACCCAUUCCCGAAAAUUUUCCCCAAA
Molecule: long non-coding RNA, 215 nt
Filed under: Mytilus galloprovincialis (Mediterranean mussel)
Lineage: Eukaryota; Metazoa; Mollusca; Bivalvia; Mytilida; Mytilidae
Source: RNAcentral